GGUCCAGACUCCUACGGGAGGCAGCAGUGGGGAAUAUUGGACAAUGGGGGGAACCCUGAUCCAGCGACGCCGCGUGAGUGAAGAAGUAUUUCGGUAUGUAAAGCUCUAUCAGCAGGGAAGAAGAAAUGACGGUACCUGACUAAGAAGCCCCGGCUAACUCCGUGCCAGCAGCCGCGGUAAUACGGAGGAUGCGAGCGUUAUCCGGAUUUAUUGGGUUUAAAGGGAGCGUAGACGGUUACGCAAGUCUGGAGUGAAAGGCGGGGGCCCAACCCCCGGACUGCUUUGGAAACUGUAUAACUGGAGUGCAGGAGAGGUAAGUGGAAUUCCUAGUGUAGCGGUGAAAUGCGUAGAUAUUAGGAGGAACACCAGUGGCGAAGGCGGCUUACUGGACUGUAACUGACGUUGAGGCUCGAAAGCGUGGGGAGCAAACGGGAUUAGAUACCCCAGUAGCC
RNAcentral lists this ribosomal RNA (452 nucleotides) under uncultured bacterium. Its description in RNAcentral is "bacterial SSU rRNA". It matches the Rfam family "Bacterial small subunit ribosomal RNA", at positions 328 to 795 of the family's 1533-position model. The record is from RNAcentral.